AUUGAACGCUGGCGGCAGGCCUAACACAUGCAAGUCGAGCGGAUGAAUGGAGCUUGCUCCUGGAUUCAGCGGCGGACGGGUGAGUAAUGCCUAGGAAUCUGCCUGGUAGUGGGGGAUAACGUCCGGAAACGGGCGCUAAUACCGCAUACGUCCUGAGGGAGAAAGUGGGGGAUCUUCGGACCUCACGCUAUCAGAUGAGCCUAGGUCGGAUUAGCUAGUUGGUGGGGUAAAGGCCUACCAAGGCGACGAUCCGUAACUGGUCUGAGAGGAUGAUCAGUCACACUGGAACUGAGACACGGUCCAGACUCCUACGGGAGGCAGCAGUGGGGAAUAUUGGACAAUGGGCGAAAGCCUGAUCCAGCCAUGCCGCGUGUGUGAAGAAGGUCUUCGGAUUGUAAAGCACUUUAAGUUGGGAGGAAGGGCAGUAAGUUAAUACAUGGAUGUUUUGACGUUACCAACAGAAUAAGCACCGGCUAACUUCGUG
RNAcentral lists this ribosomal RNA (484 nucleotides) under uncultured bacterium. Its description in RNAcentral is "partial 16S ribosomal RNA". It matches the Rfam family "Bacterial small subunit ribosomal RNA", at positions 30 to 507 of the family's 1533-position model. The record is from RNAcentral.